This 490-nucleotide ribosomal RNA is filed under the name uncultured bacterium. Its description in RNAcentral is "partial 16S ribosomal RNA". It matches the Rfam family "Bacterial small subunit ribosomal RNA", at positions 30 to 507 of the family's 1533-position model. The record is from RNAcentral.
AUUGAACGCUGGCGGCAGGCCUAACACAUGCAAGUCGAACGGUAACAGGGAUCAGCUUGCUGAUUCGCUGACGAGUGGCGGACGGGUGAGUAAUGUCUGGGAAACUGCCUGAUGGAGGGGGUUAACUACUGGAAACGGUAGCUAAUACCGCAUAACGUCGCAAGACCAAAGAGGGGGACCUUCGGGCCUCUUGCCAUCGGCUGUGCCCAGAUGGGAUUAGCUAGUAGGUGGGGUAACGGCUCACCUAGGCGACGAUCCCUAGCUGGUCUGAGAGGAUGACCAGCCACACUGGAACUGAGACACGGUCCAGACUCCUACGGGAGGCAGCAGUGGGGAAUAUUGCACAAUGGGCGCAAGCCUGAUGCAGCCAUGCCGCGUGUAUGAAGAAGGCCUUCGGGUUGUAAAGUACUUUCAGCGGGGAGGAAGGGAGUAAAGUUAAUACCUUCGCUCAUUGACGUUACCCGCAGAAGAAGCACCGGCUAACUCCGUG